This is a long non-coding RNA of Chinchilla lanigera (long-tailed chinchilla), 564 nucleotides long. RefSeq lists it as uncharacterized. Lineage: Eukaryota; Metazoa; Chordata; Mammalia; Rodentia; Chinchillidae. The record is from RefSeq and is a predicted model, not a curated record. The transcript is spliced from 3 exons.
CACUGUCCUACCACUGCCCUCCGGAUGGCGCCAGGAGAAGCCCGCUGUCCUGGAAAUGUGUGCCCGUGAAAUCGCACGCAGACUUUAAAAACCUCCAAACCUCGGAAGAAUGAAGUAAAUUAACCCGCGUCUGUACAGGCUCCGAGGAUGAGUGCAACGGUUUAUUCUUUGAGGAUCAAACUGCCUUUGUCUGCACCACUCAGUUGGAGAGAAGACUACUUCUGGAAUCUUAUCCAGCCUCUUGGUAUUCUGAAUGACUUCUGCUGCCACUCUAAUUAUCAGCCAGGAGGCUUAUUUGUAAUCACCAGCUUUCAACGAUUUAAAUAGGACAGGCCAGCUGAUGCAGAGAAGCUCCUUAUAACAUGUCAGAAGCGCGUUCUCACUUCACCAGUCCAACUGGCAGUCUACAAUGAAAUCUACAAUUUACAGAUCAGUUCAGUAGCUUAGCACAGCCAGCAGGCAAGGCACUGUAAGAAUUAAUCUGUUGUGUGUGCACCGCACCCAAACUUGUUCCUGAGACUUUAGACAUGGGCUUUUCAUUGUCUAUUUGAAUUAAAAUAAAAG